UUUUUUAUAUUUUUUUUAAGCAAAACGGUAACUGGAAGUCUGAAGAGAUGAUGGUUACGGACAGAGGCGGAGGGAUGUGACACUGUUUUCUGUGCGGAGGCAAAGCUUGCGGUUGCAGCGUUUGUGAUUUUGACCCCGGGGAUGGCCUGUUGUCACUCCCACUCUUGGCUGCUCCCCAAUAUUCAAUCCCUUUCCCUCUGCAGAUGGAGAAGCUUCACUUUCAGAUUGGUAGGAACAACAACAACAAUCUCCCCUAAUUUCCCAUAAGGGCUACUGCAAUACGUUCAAUCGUAGUUUUUAUUCGGCUUCACCAGGAGUUGUUAGUGAGAAUGUUGAUGCUGCCGCCACCCCCGCCUUUUACUCUAAAAGUGAGGGAGUAGUACACCGAGACAUGCUGCUGGCUUCGACUUUGAUAAAGCAUGAAGAGAAAACAGUGAAUAGUAACCCUUCAGAUGGUAGAGUAAUGCUCGUCGACGGCACAUCCAUCAUUUAUAGAGCAUACUAUAAGAUUUUUGGUGUCGAUUCCUUCCUUCUCUUGCAAAGCUGCAUCAUGGACAUCUGUCACAUGCCGUUGGAAACGGAGAUUGGGUGUUGACCAUCUUCUCAGCACUUUCUCUUAUAAUUGAUGUCCUGAUGUUUAUCCCUUCCCAUGUGGCAGUGUGAUUUUAUUCCAGUAUGUAUUUUGUGUAUUUUCAUUCUAUUUCACUUGUAGGUUCUAGACUUCUAGUUUGCAUGUUCUCUAUCUAUUUUUACGGAGUUGGCUGGCAAUGUGUUUCAUAUUGAUCGGGUCAUUCUACCUUGGUUAAACAAACUUAAAAGGAUUAGUGCUGCUGAACUGGUAGGGAAAACAGAGAGAUGAGAAGGAGAGGGGAAGACUCGAAAGAGAACUAUAGGCAGGCUUCAGUAUUCCAUAAUGCAAGCAUGUCUUGAAGAGCUAGAUGAUCAACUACAUCAAAUUAAGUAGCUCCAUAACCCAAUCGGCAAUCCAUAGUUAACUGAAUUCCUUAAUUGAAUUGUAUUCCUCCCAAAUUAUUUCUUUACCUCAUUGUCCAUCAACUAGUUAUCGUUGUUUCCGUUUUUUGUGGUUUCAACUUUCAAAUGUUUUUUCAUAUAAAAUGCGGAUAUUAGUUGUUAGAAAUAAUUUUAUUUAUAAGUAGACAUGGAGCCAUUAAACUUGCUUGGUUUUGUUCUCCUUGAGUUUAUUCAAUUUCUGAUAUCAUAGUCCCCCACUUUUGUCCUGUAACACAACUAAUAACUUUUUUCUUCUUCUUUUUUUUGUCUUUUCAUGUAGGUGGUGUUUGACCGUGAUGGUGUGAUACAAAUUUUGUUGGCCUCUUCAUUUUGUUAUUGAUAUUCUUAUAUUUGUAUUUACUUGUACACUUCCAAAUUGCAUCACCAUAGAGCUCAUUAAAUGCUAUAUACAUAUAAAGUCUUGGGUUUAGCUAGUGAAGUCGUACUUACUGUGCUCAAUAUGUAGGUGGGGGAGCAUGUUUUCCAAGCCCAAUUUUGAUAAGACAGACAUUCUCUUUUCAGGAAUUUCAUUUGGUCAAACAUGUAAUUCAUCCAAAGAAAGUGUUAAAAAGGAAAAGGCCUGAAUUUUCAUCAUACUCUGUACCCCGCAUACAAGAGCAGUCGCCCCCCUACACCUGACACCAUUGUCCAGGGACUCCAAUACUUGAAAGCAUCAAUCAAGGCUAUGUCCAUUAAGGUGAUUGAGGAAAUAGCUCCAUAUCACAGCUUCAUAUGACCAGUUAACCCCAUAGGUAUGUUGUGAUUGAUCAUGAGUCUACUCAAAGGCAGGUGCCCGGUGUGGAAGCUGAUGAUGUGAUUGGGACAUUGGCUGUUAGAAGUGUUGAUAGUGGGUACAAGCCUCUCCAUAAAUGGGGGUAAGACUAGCCGACAUUCACCUCUCCCAGACCCUGCGUAAAGCGGGAGCCUUGUGCACUGGGUACGACGACCUAAAUUUUGACAGGUACGGGUUGUCUCCCCAGACAAAGACUUUUUUCAGAUUCUAUCUCCUUCGCUGCGCCUUCUACGAAUUGCUCCACGUGGCUUUGAUAUGGUUUAUGGAGGAUUUUGCUGAAAAAUAUGGAAGCCUUCAACCUUCUCAGUUGGUUGAUGUGAUCUCACUUGUCGGUGACAAAUCCGAUAAUAUUCCAGGAGUCCAUGGAAUUGGAAAUGUUCAUGCUGUGCAACUCAUCACUAAAUUUGGCCUUGAUAGAAAAUGCUGAUCAGGCUCUCUUGAGCAAGAACUUGUUUAGUUCGGGGCCCCAUUGCAACAUCAUUAUCUGCUCUUGAACUUUGAUGCAGGGGUUUUGAGCCAUUGCAUUUGAGUCAAGACUUUGGUAUGCCACUUGAACUUUCAUGCUUUGUUUCCCUGUGCUUUCCAUUUGAGGCAGCGUGACUUUAUGUUUUUUUUAAUAGAAUGUUUGAUGUUUUGGCCUUAUAUUAUUUCUUUGCCCUCUGCUUUGUUUCUUAUUCUUGGUUUUUUAUUUUGGUUUCAAUUCAAAGGUCCCUUGCUGUCUUUAUAAUUCUGGUUUACCCAAGUGUUCUUAAUUUUUUAUCGAAUGUUGUUAGACAUUUUACAUGUUUUUUUGCCAGUUGCUUACUUUCUUUUUUAUGUGUUGAAUUUUCCAAAUUAUUGUUCAAAGGUCAGUUGAUUUGGCUGGUUGGUGUGUUCAUUAGGUUUUUCUAUGAGUGGGCUCUCUCAUCCUUCCCGAAGUGCUUUAAUGAGUGAUGUUGAUAAGUGCACUCUCUCUAUGGACCAUAAAUAUUUCACGAAAAAUGGCAACUUACAUAUUUAAGAAAAUGAGUAGCCUUUUAACAAUACAUGAACACAACUUACAUAUUUAGAAAAAUUUAGGACUAUUUAUGACACGCUACAACCCCGAUAUCCCCAAAUAUCAGGGUAGACACGUGUUGGCCGACACCCGAGGGUGACGAAGCCAUUAAAAACAUGCAUACCGAUAAAAUAUGUAAUUAGAAAGAGAUACACUAGUGCAAAAUUGUGUUCAAAGCAUACAACUAAUCAAGAAUAAAGUGAAAGAAUUAUGAUAGAAAGGUACGAACUGAGGAAUGGGUCCUACACAGAGGAGGCUCGAGAUGCCUAAGCGGAAGUGUCUUGACGCUGGGAUCGUGUGCCUUGAUUCUAACUCCUGAAGGGGGAGAAACGGUGAGUGGACCAUAAUUGAUAUUAAUACUAAUAAUACGAAAACUGAUUUCUUACUGAACAUACUAACCCUUGUUUUGAAUAUAUAUAUAAUACUACAUAUGGUAAGUUUUCUGAAAACUCUAGCAUGCCAUGAAAUCAUUCGUAAAACAAAUAUAUGUAAAACCAUGCUCAAUAAUGGUGCUUUCAUUGCCCGAAGGCAAAUCCAUAAAUCUCAUCAAUACUGUACUCUCUAGGGGUAUCAUAGUCGCCCGAGGCAGUACCUGUCCAUCACUCGAAGGUGAAACUGUACGACACUGGGUUACGCCAGUUAAGAAACAUGGUAGGCCCCAUCACCCGAAGGUGAAGUUGUAUGACUUUGGGUUAUGCUAGAGAAGAAACAUAUAACAUCACACACUGACACUAACCGUUGCUAGUGAAGCUGUCCGACACUGGUUUCACCAGUGAAGCUGGGGGUAUAUCAUAUAUCUCCUCAACUGUGUCCUAUGACCAUAGACGUCUACAUACUCGUGUUGUGUGGAUGUGCUAUAUGAUAACCCACUAGAUAAGCACUGAAAACAUACCUCAAAAACUCAUAUCCAAAUCUAAAGCUCAAAAGCUCAAAGUCUCCUCUUAUCAAUCCUUGAUAGCACAUAUUCAUAAAUCUGUAAAAUAAAUCGUAUUUGUAAUCCAUAAACUUUCAUAUACGAAAACUCAAUAAUCCAUUACCUUUCAUAAAACGUAAAUACGUGAAAUUAUAAAUAUUUUAAUUUCUUCAUAAAACAUAAAUCUAGAAAUCCAACAAACGUAACAUAAAAUGUAAUCAAUUCAUGAAAUAUGAAUGCAUGCAAGCCUAAUAUUUUAUAAAAUCAUGCAAGUUUAGAAGGGGUCCACUCACAGUAUUCCAUUGCCCGUACGCUGCUAGAACUAGCGAGGAUGAAGUCAUUUCCCACCGAUGCACCUAACCACAUAUAGAGGUUAUUUAGGUAAACUCUACUAAAACGAUCAAAUUUUAGGAAACGGACAACAGAUUUAGAUUUGGCAUGUCGAGAAACCCAAGGAGGGACCUCGGGUUCCCCCACGAGUCACCGCAUGCGCCACCAUACAUUGAGUUGGGUCGUUGGAGCACAGUACCUUCGGCGGAGGCGCGUGUGCUCCAUGCACCAGCCAUGACAAGCACCCAUGUGCCAACCCACGUGUGGACAUGGAACUAAGUUAGGAUCUGGGUCAGGGCUUGGGCUAAUGGGUUGAGCCAAGUUAGGGUAAAUGGGCUAUGAGCCUGGGUUACAUGGCCCAAGGGUUUGGGCUAGGUCCGUUAUUGGGUUAAAGGAUUGGGCCUGGACAAUAGGUUGGGCUGGAUCUGAUUAGGUUGGGCUAGUUAUUAGGCUGGUUUUGGGUUGAGGGUCGAGUCUUUGGGUUUCUGAGUUUGGCCGACCUGGUUUCAAGCCGGAUUUCAUGAAGAAGAAAUCCUGAGAAGCAAGGGAUAAAAAUUUACACUUGGUUUCCUCAACUGUGGCCGGAGUUGGCCAAAAAACAGUCUAGAAGGCACGGGUUCUCGUCGGAAACUGGGGAAGGUUCCCCCCGAGUAUUUCCUGUGUCUAAAACCAUACCACACACGUCAAAACUAUCCUAAUCGUGCCCUAAAACAUAAUCUCUGAAGUUUUGGUUGGUUAUCGAAGCUCAUCGUCAUUGGAGAUGGCGAGGAUUCGCUGAAGAAACGUUUGCACAAUAAUGGUGCCACUGUGAAGAGAGAAAGACAUCGUCCUGGGUUAGGGGUUCGAGAGUGUGACUUCGAUCAGUGAGGAGAGGUUGGUAGAGGCGGUGGUCCGUAAGGUGGCUAGCCAGAGAGGUGUCGGGUGUGGGUGAGGUCGGAGAGAGAAGGAAAUGGCUGAGAAAGAAGGAAAAUGUUUCCCGGGGAGAGACAAAGAGAAAGGUAGGAAAAAAGAGAGAGAUAGAGAGUUCUAGAGAGAGAGGAGUCACGAUAAAGGGAGAGGAACACCCUAGAAAUGUGGAGGGGAUCUGUCACGUGUCAGCGCGGGAGUGGUCCAAGGUGGAAAAUAUCUUGGCUUGGAAAAUUACCAAAAUGCCCUUACGUUUCAAAUUCCGUAAAACGUUCCUCAUAACUCCAAAUCCGAUUCUGCUUGCGCCCACACGCUCAUAGUGACAAGUCUUACAAGGAUACAGUAAGAAAACGGAUCUUACAUGACAUGACAAGGUGGUCCACAAAAGUCAACGUUUUUGCCUUAAGGGGCAUUUUCAUAAAUUCACACUUUAAAAUGAUAAAAAUUGUAAUAUUUGGGGACAGGUCAUUACAAUUUACAUUCAACCUAUAGGUAUUAUUAACCCAUACAAAAUUAA
Molecule: non-coding RNA, 5506 nt
Organism: Malus domestica (apple)
Lineage: Eukaryota; Viridiplantae; Streptophyta; Magnoliopsida; Rosales; Rosaceae
Source: RefSeq, a predicted model, not a curated record